CUACGGGCGGCACCAGUGGGGAAUAUUGCACAAUGGGCGCAAGCCUGAUGCAGCCAUGCCGCGUGUAUGAAGAAGGCCUUCGGGUUGUAAAGUACUUUCAGCGGGGAGGAAGGGAGUAAAGUUAAUACCUUUGCUCAUUGACGUUACCCGCAGAAGAAGCACCGGCUAACAUCCGUGCCAGCAGCCGCGGUAAUACGGAGGGUGCAAGCGUUAAUCGGAAUUACUGGGCGUAAAGCGCACGCAGGCGGUGUGUUAAGUCAGAUGUGAAAUCCCCGGGCUCAACCUGGGAACUGCAUCUGAUACUGGCAAGCUUGAGUCUCGUAGAGGGGGGUAGAAUUUCAGGUGUAGCGGUGAAAUGCGUAGAGAUCUGGAGGAAUACCGGUGGCGAAGGCGGCCCCCUGGACGAAGACUGACGCUCAGGUGCGAAAGCGUGGGGAGCAAACAGGAUUAGAUACCCCCGUAGUC
This 465-nucleotide ribosomal RNA is filed under the name uncultured bacterium. RNAcentral's name for it is "partial 16S ribosomal RNA". It matches the Rfam family "Bacterial small subunit ribosomal RNA", at positions 339 to 795 of the family's 1533-position model. The record is from RNAcentral.